Molecule: ribosomal RNA, 513 nt
Filed under: uncultured bacterium
Lineage: Bacteria
Description: partial 16S ribosomal RNA
Rfam family: Bacterial small subunit ribosomal RNA
Source: RNAcentral
GACGAACGCUGGCGGCAUGCCUAAUACAUGCAAGUCGAGCGAACAGAUGAAGUGCUUGCACUUCUGACGUUAGCGGCGAACGGGUGAGUAACACGUAGGGAAUCUACCUAUAAGCGGGGGAUAACAUUCGGAAACGGGUGCUAAUACCGCAUAAUAUCUUCUUCCGCAUGGAAGAAGAUUGAAAGACGGCUCUGCUGUCACUUAUAGAUGACCUUGCGGUGCAUUAGUUAGUUGGUGGGGUAAUGGCCUACCAAGACGAUGAUGCAUAGCGGACCUGAGAGGGUGAUCGGCCACAUUGGGACUGAGACACGGCCCAAACUCCUACGGGAGGCAGCAGUAGGGAAUCUUCCGCAAUGGGCGAAAGCCUGACGGAGCAAUGCCGCGUGAGUGAAGAAGGCCUUCGGGUCGUAAAACUCUGUUAUAAGAGAAGAACAAAUUGUAGAGUAACUGCUACAGUCUUGACGGUAUCUUAUCAGAAAGCCACGGCUAACUACGUGCCAGCCGCCGCUGUAA